CUUGCUAAAAUAUAUAUAGCACCUUACUAAGUAUAUAUAUUUCUAUACAUAUACUCAUCUUCGUUUAACCUCAUAGCAUCUCUUCAUGUGAAAUCUUAUCUCCAAUAAUAAAAUUUUCAUAUGUACUUAUAUAACAUUUCUUAGACUAUUCAGUUCACAUCGAAUUUACAGGUAUCGUAAUACCUUAUUCUUAAUAUUCCUUCAAGUACAUAUUAAUUCAUUUCUAGGGUUUUGGAAUUUUGUAACCCAUAUU
This 253-nucleotide long non-coding RNA is filed under the name Panax ginseng (ginseng). RNAcentral's name for it is "long non-coding RNA (PGIN_LNC013866)". The record is from RNAcentral. Lineage: Eukaryota; Viridiplantae; Streptophyta; Magnoliopsida; Apiales; Araliaceae.